AAAUUGAAGAGUUUGAUCAUGGCUCAGAUUGAACGCUGGCGGCAGGCCUAACACAUGCAAGUCGAACGGUAACAGGAAACAGCUUGCUGUUUCGCUGACGAGUGGCGGACGGGUGAGUAAUGUCUGGGAAACUGCCUGAUGGAGGGGGAUAACUACUGGAAACGGUAGCUAAUACCGCAUAACGUCGCAAGACCAAAGAGGGGGACCUUCGGGCCUCUUGCCAUCGGAUGUGCCCAGAUGGGAUUAGCUAGUAGGUGGGGUAAAGGCUCACCUAGGCGACGAUCCCUAGCUGGUCUGAGAGGAUGA
RNAcentral lists this ribosomal RNA (306 nucleotides) under Escherichia coli. RNAcentral's name for it is "partial 16S ribosomal RNA". It matches the Rfam family "Bacterial small subunit ribosomal RNA", at positions 1 to 303 of the family's 1533-position model. Lineage: Bacteria; Pseudomonadati; Pseudomonadota; Gammaproteobacteria; Enterobacterales; Enterobacteriaceae. The record is from RNAcentral.